AGCGGCGGACGGGUGAGUAACGCGUGGGAAUGUGCCCUUUGGUACGGAACAACUGAGGGAAACUUCAGCUAAUACCGUAUGUGCCCUUCGGGGGAAAGAUUUAUCGCCAUUGGAGCAGCCCGCGUUGGAUUAGGUAGUUGGUGAGGUAAAGGCUCACCAAGCCUACGAUCCAUAGCUGGUCUGAGAGGAUGAUCAGCCACACUGGGACUGAGACACGGCCCAG
This 223-nucleotide ribosomal RNA is filed under the name uncultured bacterium. RNAcentral's name for it is "partial 16S ribosomal RNA". It matches the Rfam family "Bacterial small subunit ribosomal RNA", at positions 94 to 334 of the family's 1533-position model. The record is from RNAcentral.